CUGGGAAAUAGUGAGGCAGCCACAAAACAAAGAACCCAUUAAAAAAAGACCGUCAAACACCCAAUGUGUAAAAUAAAAGAAAAAAAUCAAUGCAAACAAUAAAAAAUCGUUGGGUAUAAUGUUGUGGCCUCGGCGGGAGUUAGAAGAUGGCAGUGCGCCGCGUGUGCACAGCUCUCCGGUGAAAAUGAUAUCGUAUCCAUUAAAUAGGGGCCGUGGACAAUUCUGAUUUGAUGGAGAAUGGACGGGAAAGCACAGAGGAACAUUGGAGAAAUUUCUGAAACGCCGUUCGCUGCUAUCGUUACUGUGUGGUCGUGAAUCUUUUGGAGGGUAGGCCUCAAAUCCCCGGACUUGCCUGCUUUUGGCGACUGAGAAGGAGGUCGAAUAGUUCAGACAGAGAUGGCGCUCAGUACUCGGUGUCGGAGAGCUGAUCAGAGCUUGAAGUUUUUGGAUGACUCAGAGUCGGAUUGUGGUCGGGCAUGGCAGGGAGAGUUUUUCUUCCUUUUCCCGUCUGCGUGAGGUGUGCAACAUUUGAGAA
Molecule: long non-coding RNA, 535 nt
Organism: Mobula hypostoma (lesser devil ray)
Lineage: Eukaryota; Metazoa; Chordata; Chondrichthyes; Myliobatiformes; Myliobatidae
Exons: 3
Source: RefSeq, a predicted model, not a curated record